GAUGAACGCUGGCGGCGUGCCUAAUACAUGCAAGUCGAGCGAACAGACGAGGAGCUUGCUCCUCUGACGUUAGCGGCGGACGGGUGAGUAACACGUGGAUAACCUACCUAUAAGACUGGGAUAACUUCGGGAAACCGGAGCUAAUACCGGAUAAUAUAUUGAACCGCAUGGUUCAAUAGUGAAAGACGGUUUUGCUGUCACUUAUAGAUGGAUCCGCGCCGCAUUAGCUAGUUGGUAAGGUAACGGCUUACCAAGGCAACGAUGCGUAGCCGACCUGAGAGGGUGAUCGGCCACACUGGAACGUGGACACGGUCCAGACUCCUACGGGAGGCAGCAGUAGGGAAUCUUCCGCAAUGGGCGAAAGCCUGACGGAGCAACGCCGCGUGAGUGAUGAAGGUCUUCGGAUCGUAAAACUCUGUUAUUAGGGAAGAACAAAUGUGUAAGUAACUAUGCACGUCUUGACGGUACCUAAUCAGAAAGCCACGGCUAACUACGUG
Molecule: ribosomal RNA, 497 nt
Filed under: uncultured bacterium
Lineage: Bacteria
Description: partial 16S ribosomal RNA
Rfam family: Bacterial small subunit ribosomal RNA
Source: RNAcentral